GGCAUAGCAUUGGAGAUUAUCGUGCUUUGGAAAGAGAAAUAGAAAGGAUGAUUCAAGAAUGAAUAAUUGUGGUUCAAGGCAGUAAUACCCCAAGUGUCACACAUAGUCCUCUACAGGUACAUGACAACGCACAGAUUGUAGGGAUGGUUUGCAAUGAUGAAGGGCUGAUCAAAGGAGUCAAUGAGCCAUUUGGUGAAGUUAAUGAUGUUGAAAUUGUUAAUGGUCUUGGUAAUAUUGAUGUGGAACUCAGUGGCUAAGAUGUCGAGCUUGAUAAUUGGAAAGACGCUCCUUUCUUGACUAGCCAGAGAUGAGUCAUGGUGGUUCAUUGUGUUGUCAUUUCUGUUGUCCGGGUUAUUUCAGGGUUGUAAUUCGGAUAUUGUCUUGUGACUCAAACCCUUAUAUCCUUUUUUACCUAGUUUUUUAGUCGUAGUAACUCAUUUAGUGUUAUCUAGG
RNAcentral lists this long non-coding RNA (453 nucleotides) under Nicotiana benthamiana. RNAcentral describes it as "long non-coding RNA (NBEN_LNC019870)". The record is from RNAcentral. Lineage: Eukaryota; Viridiplantae; Streptophyta; Magnoliopsida; Solanales; Solanaceae.